AUCUGCGACCAUACCACCCUGAGCGCUCCCGAUCUUGUCUGAUCUUGGAAGCUAAGCAGGGUCGGGGCCUGGCUAGUACUUGGAUGGCAGAUA
This 93-nucleotide ribosomal RNA is filed under the name Nannospalax galili (Upper Galilee mountains blind mole rat). The record is from RNAcentral. Lineage: Eukaryota; Metazoa; Chordata; Mammalia; Rodentia; Spalacidae.